Molecule: ribosomal RNA, 253 nt
Filed under: uncultured bacterium
Lineage: Bacteria
Description: partial 16S ribosomal RNA
Rfam family: Bacterial small subunit ribosomal RNA
Source: RNAcentral
UACGUAGGGUGCAAGCGUUGUCCGGAAUUAUUGGGCGUAAAGAGCUCGUAGGCGGUCUGUCGCGUCUGCUGUGAAAACUCAGGGCUUAACCCUGAGCUUGCAGUGGGUACGGGCAGACUAGAGUGCGGUAGGGGAGAUUGGAAUUCCUGGUGUAGCGGUGGAAUGCGCAGAUAUCAGGAGGAACGCCAAUGGCGAAGGCAGAUCUCUGGGCCGUAACUGACGCUGAGGAGCGAAAGCAUGGGGAGCGAACAGG